This is a long non-coding RNA of Tyto alba (common barn owl), 2508 nucleotides long. RefSeq lists it as uncharacterized. The record is from RefSeq and is a predicted model, not a curated record. NCBI's taxonomy places the organism in Eukaryota, Metazoa, Chordata, Aves, Strigiformes, Tytonidae. The transcript has 5 exons.
GGGCAGGGAGAGCCGCCUCACGCCCCUGCGUGGAUUGCCCCCCCCCCCCCCCCUCACACAACAGCCUUUCGCCCCGUCUUCCCGGGUUUGCAGCUCCGGCCCGGAGCUGAGGCGGUGGGUGGGUCCAAAGGUAAACAGAGCGCCGGAUUAUUUCUGGUUGCUGUAGGGGAAUGCAAACGUGAUGAAAUCCUCUCCGCAGGCUCUGCCUCCAGGAGAGCAGUGAGCAGUCAGAUGGAACCUCUCGAAGCAUUGCUAAGUUCUGGACAAACCCCCAGGUGCUUGCAAAACUGCACUACGGAAACCACUCGGCAUCGUCAGGCGGUUCCCACCGGCACCGCCGGCCUUCGAUGUCAGCCUUUCCUGCGGGGAAUGCGAGGCGGCCCCACCGGCCGGAGCAACAGGGGGAGUGCUUGUGAAAGGGAACCCCCAGAACACGGCAGCCUCUGAGCCUCCAGAAACAGAUGGCAACACUAAGGAACUGAGGACAAGGUAGCCAGUCCUGCACUACAGAAUAGCAGUUCUCUAUUCCCCUGGCCAUCCCAUCAGGUCAUCAUCCUCAGUGAGUGAAGAGCCAGCGCCAAGAAAGAGCACCUCGGCCUGCAGAAGGGGAUGUAAGGCAGAGAUGGGGAAGCAGUAGCCUCAGCUUUCUUACACUCUUUGUCCACCACCAGAAGUUGUUGGAGUUUAUCUGCAGCAAGCUGACAGACUACUGAACUCCAGCGUGCAACCUGACCCCCUGGCAUCAGUGAGUAACAUGGCACCUAACUGCAACCCUCAAAAGCCUUUUCCUCUUAGAAGCAAGCUCUAAAUUGCAGUGCAUCUGAAAUGAAAUGAAAUAGUAAACUCUUUGGGUUUGUAGUCUGAAGUGCUAUUACAAUUGUAGGUGCUGCAAAAUAGAUGCUUUAUACAGUAAAAUAAUUCUUUUCAUGAGAGUUUUAUGUUAAUUUCUUCCACUUCACUGCUAUCUACAGGACGAUCUCUUUUCAUUAAUUCUAUAACAAUAGCCUUAUUUCUCCAUGUUUUUAUUAGAUCUAAAAAUGGUAUAAAAUGAAAGAUGUUGACAGUUUCACCGUACAGAAAACGGAAAGAAAGACUUGAAAUGAAUACAAAUAAUUAUAUGAAAUCUAACUAAUUACUAUCUGUAAAACAUGUAGGUUUGCAACAAGAAAGUAGUGCAGGAAAUAGUGAAUCAUGAAGGGGAGAAUAGCUAGAUAGAAUACCCUGCAUGGAGCAUUAUAACUAUCUGAAAAACAAACAAAUGAAGGACACUAACAAUUUGCCACAGUAAUAUGUCUUUCUAAUGCACUGAAACCUAAGUUUUUCCGAAAGAAACAAAACAUUUUUCCUAAAGAUGGUCCUGCAACUCUCUUCAGAUUCUCGCAGUAUGCUUAAAUGAAUUGACUGGCCGUAACCCAAACCACUGUGACUGGAAAUUUAGGGAAACAUGGCAUAGUCACUCUUUUUCCUUGCCUAAAUUGUGAUAAUCUGGUGUUGAAAAAAUGCCUCUCACUGUGUCUUGAAGUCCAUUGCUAUAAUGAUAAAUGAUUACAAAAUUGUUGAUUGCAACUUCUUGAAAGUUUUGUUUAGUUUUAAAUGUCUCUAAACUAAAAGGCAAAAAGAAGUUUUCUACCUACCAUCUCAUGCACUCAAGCCUUAGACCUGUGGUAAAACAGUUCCAAACCCUUACACAAAUGAGCGCUCACGGUGCUGAAGAAGACAGGGCAGACCGGUGAGGCAAUUGCACGUGUCAGGGCGCAUCCAGACUGUCAGAAGCAUGAGGCCUUUGCCAAUGGGACUGUCACCAAAAUGUUUGGAGUGAUGCCAUUUCUGCGUAGACAUCAGCGAUUGCAUUAGGUUUGAGUGGUGCUCGCAAUUUUGUACCCGGGGGUGGGUUAUGGCAUGACCGUGGCCAUCCCUAUUCAUUUUCAGCUGUAGCUGAGGACGUAGCAUCGUAGCGCUGGCUGCAUUUUGCCUGUUCCUCUUGAGCAAGCAAAGCGCCUGCAGCCAGAUCUGCCUGCAAAGACCCCCGAAGCAUCGCAGUUCAUAACGAGGACAAAUGCACCCUCGGGAAACCCAGUGAUGUUGUUUAAGCAUUGCUUAAUCAAAAAGAAGCUAUUUCUUAGUUUAAAGAGAGUGUUGCUAUUUUUUCUUUGCUCUUGAAGCUUUAGUUGGAGAUGACUCUGUUCAGCUCUCUCCAUCAAUUAUUCAGUGAUACAGAGGCCAAACAAGUCUAGAAGUGACUUGCUGAAUUCUUUCUUUGUCUUCCUGCUGAGGAAAACCCUUUUCCAACACAAUACAUAAAGGAUUGCUGUACUAGUUUAGACUGUUUUGCAAUGCCAGGCCUAAGCUGGUGUCAACAGCAGAUGACAACAGCCAUCCCGAAAACCUCUUGUGUUUCCUUUACAAGAUCUUCACUUCUGGAAAAAGGUUUAAGAUUUGCAAUUCAACUAGUGUUACUUAAUCUGACUAAGUGACUUAGCUGAAGUCAGAGGUGCUGCAUUUACAAUU